GACGAACGCUGGCGGCGUGCUUAACACAUGCAAGUCGAACGGAAAGGCCCUGCUUUUGUGGGGUGCUCGAGUGGCGAACGGGUGAGUAACACGUGAGUAACCUGCCCUUGACUUUGGGAUAACUUCAGGAAACUGGGGCUAAUACCGGAUAGGAGCUCCUGCUGCAUGGUGGGGGUUGGAAAGUUUCGGCGGUUGGGGAUGGACUCGCGGCUUAUCAGCUUGUUGGUGGGGUAGUGGCUUACCAAGGCUUUGACGGGUAGCCGGCCUGAGAGGGUGACCGGCCCCAUCGGGACGGAGAUACGCCCCAGACUCCUACGGGAGGCAGCAGUGGGGAAUAUUGCAUAAUGGUCGGAAGCCUGAUGCAGCAAUGCCGCGUGCGGGAGGACGGCCUGCGGGUUGUAAGCCGCGUUCGCCUGUGACGAAGCGUGAGUGACGGGAAUGGGUAAAUAAUCACCGGCUAGCUACGUG
Molecule: ribosomal RNA, 468 nt
Filed under: uncultured bacterium
Lineage: Bacteria
Description: partial 16S ribosomal RNA
Rfam family: Bacterial small subunit ribosomal RNA
Source: RNAcentral